Oreochromis aureus is the source of this 1001-nucleotide long non-coding RNA. RefSeq lists it as uncharacterized. The transcript is spliced from 4 exons. NCBI's taxonomy places the organism in Eukaryota, Metazoa, Chordata, Actinopteri, Cichliformes, Cichlidae. The record is from RefSeq and is a predicted model, not a curated record.
UGCUGCAUUAAGCUAGGCAAAACGGAGCAAGACACCCGAGAGCAAUUAACAAGCUAUUUUUAACAGUCUCUAACUUAAAGUUAUGUACUUUUCAGAGGCCUUUAUGUGUUUUACUCUCGACCAAAACCAGGCAGAGCGUGUGUUUGUUUCUUGGGAACUCCGACUGGUUUUUUGUGAUCCUGGAUCUGAAGUGGUUCUGGAUAUGGAUGGCGAGCCAGACCCUGUGAAAACUCUUGGCGAAUCCAAAAGCAGUGUGGCCAGCUGUUCUGGAUGCAGGAGUAGAGCUACAGCCUGACUUACUUCGGAUCACAGGAUUUCAGAUAAGCAAGAGCAAAAACUGCUUACUUCAUACGGAUCGUUUCUCUGGAAACUAUUGAACUCACAAUAUCCUGUUCAUCAGGAGUCAGGUCUAAAGAGACUACUUAUUUUAUUUUAUUUUAUUUUAUUUUGUUGUUAUUUUCAAAAGAGCGCUCUUCUCUGCACUGUAAUCCCUAACAGUUGUUCUAGCUCAUAACUAAUAAGCUCAUAACACUCAAAUGUCGUUUUGUAGUUGAGCAAACUAUAAAGUAUUGAGCUCUGUUGGCUUUUAUGCAACUUUAAUUGAAUAGGGCUCAAUAUUUUUUAGCUAAUUUGUUUGGAACGCUCAAAAAGUUUAAGAAGCAUAUAUUAGUGACGUUCUGGUGGGUGGAGUCUUGUCGCUCCCUCAGGAAAGCUGAGUCAGCCAUCUUGAAUUUACCUUGAUGUGGGGAAGAUUUGGCCUGCCCGUGUGGAUUAAGAGUCCCCAACUUCAACCUACAACGACCACCACCUUAAUUUUUUUCAUCAACUGCCCUAAAUUUGAUUAGAGGGGUAUUCCACUAAGCGAGCUCUACAAGUCAAGACUGGGCAGUGGGUCCAUGAAUAAACUGCCUCACUCCUGCAGGUGUCUGUCCAUACUUCCCAUCGUUCAAGAACCAAAAGAUGGCUGCUGCCCAGAAGCAUGUGCUGCAUGUGUAUGUUGA